This 465-nucleotide ribosomal RNA is filed under the name Vreelandella stevensii. Its description in RNAcentral is "partial 16S ribosomal RNA". It matches the Rfam family "Bacterial small subunit ribosomal RNA", at positions 338 to 795 of the family's 1533-position model. Lineage: Bacteria; Pseudomonadati; Pseudomonadota; Gammaproteobacteria; Oceanospirillales; Halomonadaceae. The record is from RNAcentral.
CCUACGUGCGGCAGCAGUGGGGAAUAUUGGACAAUGGGCGAAAGCCUGAUCCAGCCAUGCCGCGUGUGUGAAGAAGGCCUUCGGGUUGUAAAGCACUUUCAGUGGGGAAGAAAGCCUUGGGGCUAAUACCCUCGAGGAAGGACAUCACCCACAGAAGAAGCACCGGCUAACUCCGUGUCAGCAGCCGCGGUAAUACGGAGGGUGCGAGCGUUAAUCGGAAUUACUGGGCGUAAAGCGCGCGUAGGCGGUCUGAUAAGCCGGUUGUGAAAGCCCCGGGCUCAACCUGGGAACGGCAUCCGGAACUGUCAGGCUAGAGUGCAGGAGAGGAAGGUAGAAUUCCCGGUGUAGCGGUGAAAUGCGUAGAGAUCGGGAGGAAUACCAGUGGCGAAGGCGGCCUUCUGGACUGACACUGACGCUGAGGUGCGAAAGCGUGGGUAGCAAACAGGAUUAGAUACCCGGGUAGUC